GAGAUGUUAUUAGAAGCUGCUAACUUCUUAAGAGUUAAAAGCUACUCUCA
Molecule: transfer RNA, 50 nt
Filed under: Atypus karschi
Lineage: Eukaryota; Metazoa; Arthropoda; Arachnida; Araneae; Atypidae
Description: tRNA-Ser
Source: RNAcentral